CCAGGUCCAACUGAUCCCUCGCUCCUCCCCAUCAGGAUUCAGAACUGCCCUGGCUGUGUGGAAUGAGUGAGUGAAUGAAUGAAUAGGUGGUCAGCACUGACCCUGGGUCACUCUGUCCUGUGACAGAGUCUAAGUAUCUGGUUCUGCUCAUUGGAAGAAUGCACCAGGCCAGCAGGCAGAGGAGGCACCCACCUGGUGUUGAGGGACCAGUGUAGAACCUCCAUGCGGGACACAUCACUGCUAGGAUUCUGAAGACAGGGAACCAGAGCCCAGAGAUAAAGGCUCAAACCGAUUAUAACGGUAAUCAUGUAUGAAGAGAAGGAUAUUUUCCCUGUUAGCUUUAAAUUUCAUUUUAAUAUUUAGUAUUUAUUAACAUUUGAAAUCCAGUCUCCUAGAGUACGGACUUCAGUUAACUUAGCUGAUUCUAAUUACUUGUUUUCGCAUUUGUUUGUCAUUUAGCUUUUCAGUAUUUUUAUUCUUUAUCUUUUUAACUGGCUAAAUAAUAGAAUUUUUCUUUUAUUAUUAUUUCUCAGCCCCCUUUUUCCAGGAACAAUCAAUACUGAUCUUCACUUAUGGACGUAGUGUGUGCAUUUAUGUGCCAACAUUGCAUAGGCGGUGAUUAAUCCAAAAAACUCUCACAAAACCAGA
Molecule: long non-coding RNA, 648 nt
Filed under: Canis lupus familiaris (dog)
Lineage: Eukaryota; Metazoa; Chordata; Mammalia; Carnivora; Canidae
Description: lncRNA (ENSCAFG00000059467.1)
Source: RNAcentral